RNAcentral lists this ribosomal RNA (467 nucleotides) under uncultured bacterium. Its description in RNAcentral is "partial 16S ribosomal RNA". It matches the Rfam family "Bacterial small subunit ribosomal RNA", at positions 28 to 523 of the family's 1533-position model. The record is from RNAcentral.
GAUGAGUGCUGGCGGCGUGCCUAACACAUGCAAGUCGAGCGGCAGCGCGAGUAGUUUACUACUUGGCGGCGAGCGGCGGACGGCUGAGUAACGCGUGGGAACGUGCCCCAAAGUGAGGAAUAACUGCCCGAAAGGGUGGCUAAUGCCGCAUAGGAUCUUCGGAUUAAAGGAUUUAUCCGCUUUGGGCGCGGCCCGCGUCGGAUUAGGUUGUUGGUGAGGUAAUGGCUCACCAAGCCGACGAUCCGUAGCUGGUCUGAGAGGAUGAUCAGCCAGACUGGGACUGAGACACGGCCCAGACUCCUACGGGAGGCAGCAGUGAGGAAUCUUCCACAAUGGGCGAAAGCCUGAUGGAGCAACGCCGCGUGAAGGAUGAAGGCCCUCGGGUUGUAAACUUCUUUUAUAAGUGAAGGAUAUGACGGUAACUUAUGAAUAAGCACCGGCUAACUACGUGUCAGCAGCCGCAGUAA